CCACGCCCCACGGUGCAGAGGAGGCGCUCGACAAGGAGCCCACCGGCAAAGUCAAGCUGGGAUGGAUGAAAGGCGUGCUGAUGCCGUGCAUGCUGAACAUCUGGGGCGUGAUGCUGUUCCUGAGGAUCUCCUGGGUCGUGGGACAGGCUGGACUCUCCUUGACACUGAUCAUCGUAUGCUCGGCCAACCUGGUGACGUUCAUCACAGCGCUCUCCAUGU
Long non-coding RNA from Hyalella azteca, 219 nucleotides. RefSeq lists it as uncharacterized. The transcript is spliced from 3 exons. The record is from RefSeq and is a predicted model, not a curated record. NCBI's taxonomy places the organism in Eukaryota, Metazoa, Arthropoda, Malacostraca, Amphipoda, Hyalellidae.